GGGUCAGUAGGUUGGUCGUGCCACCGGUACGUACUGGUCUCACUGAUUCCUCCUUCCUGAAGAACCGUAAUGCCAUUAAUUUGGUGUUGAGGGGAAACAGGACUUUUACUUUGAAAAAAUUAGAGUGUUUAAAGCAAGCUAACGCUUGAAUACAUUAGCAUGGAAUAAUGAAAUAGGACGAUCGAUCCUAUUUUGUUGGUUUCUAGGAUUGACGUA
Molecule: ribosomal RNA, 216 nt
Filed under: Glomeromycotina sp.
Lineage: Eukaryota; Fungi; Glomeromycota
Description: partial small subunit ribosomal RNA
Rfam family: Eukaryotic small subunit ribosomal RNA (bases 40-216)
Source: RNAcentral